CGCCGAACCGCGGAGAAGCCGCUGGCAGGCACCACUCCGCCGUCGUGCCGCUGGGACUACAACUCCCGGCGUGCCCCGGGGCAGCGGCGCACGGAGCGCGCUGAUUGGCCCGCGGGGGCAGCGCAGUGCGGGCGCCCCCACGUGGCGGCUCGGCGGGGCCGCGACCCCCGGGAUAACCCGGGACAAACCGGGACAAGCCGGGACAAACGGAAACAGCUCGGCUUCCUCUCGCUCCUGUGCCACGGACCUCGCCCGCCCUACCCUGAGGGACCCUGCGCUGAGUCUGGUGGCUGGGAACGGGGCCAGAUCACAGUGAGCAGGAGGAGCUCUGGGACGCCGCAGGGAGAUUCCUGCCUUUCCAGGCAGCCUCUGGCAGGCAGUGCUGGAACACGAUGGGAAUGUUAACAAAGUUCCUGGAAUCUCCAUGGAGAGAGCUGUAAAGGACAGCAUCCCUGACAGAGCAACUGAAUUAAAAUUUCAGCUGAUCAACCUUUCAGUUAUUCCCUGAUUUAUGGUAUAACACAAGUUUUUGCAGGUGAAAUAAAGAUGUUUUUUAAAUGAAUAAUGACGUUCUG
This 575-nucleotide long non-coding RNA is filed under the name Lonchura striata (white-rumped munia). RNAcentral's name for it is "domestica (Bengalese finch) lncRNA (ENSLSDG00000002346.1)". The record is from RNAcentral. Lineage: Eukaryota; Metazoa; Chordata; Aves; Passeriformes; Estrildidae.